GCGCCUGCCCAGGUGCGGAAGGUCAAGGAAGUUGGUGAACUGAUGACAGGGAAGCCGGCGACCGAAGCCCCGGUGAACGGCGGCCGUAACUAUAACGGUCCUAAGGUAGCGAAAUUCCUUGUCGGGUAAGUUCCGACCCGCACGAAAGGCGUAACGAUCUGGCCACUGUCUCGGAGAGAGGCUCGGUGAAAUAGACAUGUCUGUGAAGAUGCGGACUACCUGCACCUGGACAGAAAGACCCUAUGAAGCUUU
Hordeum vulgare subsp. vulgare (domesticated barley) is the source of this 252-nucleotide non-coding RNA. The record is from Rfam. Lineage: Eukaryota; Viridiplantae; Streptophyta; Magnoliopsida; Poales; Poaceae.